Myodes glareolus (Bank vole) is the source of this 720-nucleotide non-coding RNA. NCBI's taxonomy places the organism in Eukaryota, Metazoa, Chordata, Mammalia, Rodentia, Cricetidae. The record is from RefSeq and is a predicted model, not a curated record.
GAGAGGUAAAGGGACAGCGGCCAGCUCCUGGUGCCCACAAGUAGGACGUCCCUCCCGCUUGUGCCCAUCUAGACGAGGCCUGGCAGCCUUGGGGUCUCUAAGACCGCGCAGCCCCUUUAAGGCGUCUUUGGAUGACUCAAAGGCCAGAGCGACCCUCUAGCGGCAGUCUCGAUGGUAAGUCUUCACUUCCGGUCGGAAGUGCGUUUGGGGAGCUGCUUCCGCCGGGGGAGAGGAACCCGCGCGCUUCGUAUCGAGGGGAAGCUAAUCUUUGUGUGGCGGCGUGGAGGUUACUUGGGCCCUGCAGUCGGGGCUCCGGAAACCGCUCCCGGGGCUCGAGAAUCCGCUCCCUCUGCGGAAGCUGCUUCCGGGAGGAGCGUAAUCCUGGCUGGGCGCGCAGGCGGCCGCGGGAUGGGCGGCGGGUGGCAGGGAUGCACGGUGCCCGGGCGUCUCCAGUGUGACACACACACGAGGCCAUCCACUUAAACUCAGUUGUAUGACUCUUUUUCCCCACCUAGAAAGCGAACUAUCCGGCCCCCCGCGACUGAAAGAAAUCACGCAGUAACUCCUUUCUCCUUCGAGAGUUUCAGGUGACCUCAGCGUGGGUGACCCAGGUCUUAUGACUGGAAGAUUGGCGUGUGCACUGCGUGACCCUGGGCCUGUUGGGUUUGACUCUGACUGCUCUGUGUGGUGGCUCUAAAUAAACGGAGUUUGGCCACUCUG